Molecule: transfer RNA, 83 nt
Filed under: Candidatus Pacearchaeota archaeon
Lineage: Archaea; Nanobdellati
Description: tRNA-Leu
Rfam family: tRNA
About the family: Transfer RNA (tRNA) molecules are approximately 80 nucleotides in length. Their secondary structure includes four short double-helical elements and three loops (D, anti-codon, and T loops).
Source: RNAcentral
GUGGGGGUGCCGGAGCGGCCAAACGGGCAGGACUUAAGAUCCUGUGGCUUUUGCCUGCGAGGGUUCGAAUCCCUUCCCCCACA